Molecule: ribosomal RNA, 335 nt
Filed under: Parartemia zietziana
Lineage: Eukaryota; Metazoa; Arthropoda; Branchiopoda; Anostraca; Branchipodidae
Description: partial 16S ribosomal RNA
Rfam family: Bacterial large subunit ribosomal RNA
Source: RNAcentral
UUAAUUUUUGAGUGAAAAAGCUUAGAUUGUCUUGGAGGACGAUAAGACCCUAUAGAUCUUUACACUGGCGGUUUUCUGGCGCGGCUGUUAGUCUAGAUGGCCUUAUAGUGUUUCGUUGGGGCGACGGUGGAAGCAGAGGAAACUUCUUCUUCUGGAAACAGUGAUUUCUGACCUUUGAUCCUCAUAUGAAUUAAGAGCAAGUUACCUUAGGGAUAACAGCGUAAUUCUCCUUGAGAGACCUAAUCGACAGGAGAGUUUGCGACCUCGAUGUUGGUUCAGGGAACCUCGCUGGCGCAGCAGUAAGCAGAGGCAGUCUGUUCGACUGUUAAUUCCCU